GAACCAAAUUAAUUUAAGCUAGCAUGACAACUAAAUUAUCUCUACCACAAAUACAAGACAACAUUGAGACAAAAUAAAAUAAAAUACUAAACACCAACACUAUUAUAAACCACUAACCAACAAAGUUAAAUUAAGUUAAAUGCAACACUAACUCAAACACAUGAAGACAACUCAACCUACUAAUUAAACUAAGUGAAAACAAGAGAAAUUAACAAGCCUAUUUUACUUCUAGUAAAUUAAGUGACCCAAUAUGAAAUUAACAAAUAAAUUAAAAGUCCAAAUGGCCUAAGGAAACCUUUUGGCCUUGAGUCAUGUUUCAACAAGUCAAACUUCAAUUUCCACCUUCAAUAAGCCACCAAAAUGUGUUGACUUCUUGUCCCAUGUGCACCAUUCUUCAAGGAAAUAAGCAUGUGCCUUAAACACACAAUAAAACCAUGUUUUCCUCCCUUCCCAUGCAGCAAAAACGUGAUUGUAUACACCAAGGCACAAAAAACGUGAACUACCAAGUGGAAAUGCCAAAAAAUG
RNAcentral lists this long non-coding RNA (525 nucleotides) under Vigna radiata. RNAcentral describes it as "long non-coding RNA (VRAD_LNC015177)". Lineage: Eukaryota; Viridiplantae; Streptophyta; Magnoliopsida; Fabales; Fabaceae. The record is from RNAcentral.